UGACUAGUUGUUGCCAGGUAACGCGUCAUCGCCAUAGGAGGUAUACGAGUUUACAGGCCUUAAGCAACAAGUAGGCCUUGAUUCGUCCUACUGUUUCGUCGCGUUGGCUGAGAUCAAGUUGUCCGAAAUCGACAUUAGUUGGCGAAUUAUCUGAAAUCAAGCCAGAGAACAAUGUGUGGAAUCUGAUAUUCAAGACCUGAAAACCCCAGCUUUCCUUCUGCUUCAACAAGGCUAUAAAGCUAUUGUAAUUUUGGGAGGUCCCAGCGUUGCAUCCCAGUUUACACAGCGGAUGUCCCACAAUACAACCCAGCAAUCUUUAUUACUUGCGGUCUUCCACUGCCGGGAAUUUAUUAUUCAUGCAACUUUCCCGACGAUCCUGUAACUGCCGGAGUAGGGUCUUGUGCAACGGCAAAAUUUUCUUUAUUAUCUUUGCUGGUGUUGGGGCUGGUGCUGUGCUUCCGGUGUUAGAACGGAAGCUACUGCCGCCUGGCGGAAACAACAUUGAAGAUCGAUGAGCCGUCGAUUUUUCCGUAUUGGCCUAAUCGUUCAUGGACGCAGAACGAUGAACCGUCGUAGCUCCGGCAGCCGUUUUGCUGGCGUCUGGGGCUGUGUUGCGGCGACUGAGCUGCGAAAACUGUGCAGCAUCAUCAUCCUCGUCGUCAGUCUUGUACUGUCCACGCUCUUCGUGGAACCUUUCGAUGAUUCUUUCGUGAGGCGAGGUCGAGGCCAAGAAUCUCGGGAAUCCGAAUUCUCUUCGCUGAGGAGUUUGUCCUGGAAAACAAUUCAAUAUCACAAAAAUUUAAAAAAUUCACUUCUACAAUCCCCAUUAACGCAUUUGAGAAACACAUACAAGUCGGGCCUUCUUGACGCAUAUCUUCCACAAUGAAUUUGACAACAUCGCUGUUGCGCUGACGAAUUUCCGUAGAGAGCAGAGAGCUCCAAUCGCUCAUCGACGACGCGUGGGAUUCCACAUCGUCCCGUCGCUCGCGGACAGUCGUCACCAUAUCGGCCCGCUGCUCCUCCAGUAGAGCUUCCUAAAUCUGGGCGGCCACGUGGAGCGAAUGAAGCGACUCGGUCGUCAGGUGGGCGUAGCUGAGCAAAGCGCCGUUCAAGUGAUCAGAAUGCUUGCGCAAAUCUGCCUUCUGGGCACUCUAAAGCUCCUGCCAGGCUGCCUGUGACGUGGUCACGUGACUGGAGAUAUCUCCUUCGAUGACGGCGCAAGUCUUGUACGUUUCUUGGCUCCGACCGACGCCCUUCUUCAACGAAACCGUGGCCGUUUGCAGCAAAGCCGAACGGGAAUUUUCCAGCUGACUGCGAAGAUCUUUGCCUUGGCCACAAAAUCGUUGGCCGUCGUCUCGACGUGUUAGAAGUUGCUGUUCUAUUGCUGCGCCUUUUGCACGGCAUUCGAAACUUCGGUGCUUGUGUCGUUGACGCGAGUCUUGUAAUUCUCGCGGGUCUGCUGGACAGAGUUGACCAGAUUGAUGAUCAUCUGCAUUUGCUUGUUGAUUUCAGCGUCAAAUUCACUGAGCGAUUGGCUAGACAGCGUCUGUUGCUCGCUGAUUCGUCGCAGAUGCCAUUCUGUUUGUUGAUCCCAUUGCUGGGUAACUUGCCUCAACCGAUUCAUUCCGUCUUUUUGAUCCGUCAAGAGGACUUUAACCAAAUCCGCCUGUCGCUGCAGCUCUUCCGUCAGGGAACGCUGCAGCUGCUGGACGGCCUGCCCUCGCUCUUGCAGAGAUUUCGACACCGACUGGAACUUGGGUAAGAAAUUGUCCACGAGAAACUGAUGCUGAUUGGCCGCUUGAACGUUGACCUGAGUCCUAGUCGUCCCCCAAAACGAUUUGGUGAACUCCUGUGUGCUGUGGGUGCUGUCCGUGGCCGCCUUGCGCAGACCUUCGGCAAACUGCAGCAUCAACUCGCUCAAGACGCUCAGAUCACUGCUCUGCUUGGCCAGAAUAGUUCCAUAACUACCGGCAAUAUCACUGAGGAAUUUCGUGUGAUCCUUGACGAAGUUCUCCAGGCCAUCUUCCAUCCGGGCCACGUUUUGCUCAAAACUCUGACGGAGCCGUUCAUUCUCCUUCUCAACGGACCUAUACAUUAUCCUUCUCAAUGGACCUAUACAUUAUCCAUAAAAAUCUGUGUUGACUAUAGCAGCCCGGGAUUUGGAAAAAGAAAAAAAAGGGAGAAACGCUUACCGUUUACGAUCCAGUUUCGAAUGGAGUUUUCGUACGUGAUCGUUGGAAACAUCGGCUACUUUGAGCAACUCCCGUGCUUGAGAGCCGAGUUGCUGUUCCGUGUGAGUCUGAUGUAGGACAAUGUGCCCCUUUUCGUCUCGUUGGCGUCGAGUCUGUUUCAAUUUGGAACGAGUCAUCGACAAAUUGUGUUGAGUGCUGUUCAGCUCCUCCACCGUAGCCUGCAUGUACGAGUCAGUUCAAAUUUAAAAAAAAAAAAAAAUGGCAUUUACUAAAAGAUAACAAUUUUUAAAAAGUAGACGAAGAAGAAGAAGAAGAAAAAAUCCAUUCAUGUAGGACAGUCUGUUCGUCGUAGAGACCCUGAAGUUGCUGGCAGGACUCUUCUUUGCGGGCCUGCUCCUCCAUGGCCUUGAUCUGCUCCAGCUUUUCGACAAUCUCCUUGCGUUGCCAUUCAAUCUCGCGAGUGAUUUGCCUGUAGUUUUCCUGCACCACGUAAACACGUUCUUCUCGCUCCCAACAGCUAUUGACGAAGCCUCUCGAUCUCCUCCGUAUACUCAUAUACAGGCACAAACAAUUCGACACAGACACACAUACAACAACUAAUUAUGAUGAAUUUAGCGACCGAUCCACCUACACAGAAACAACCAAUAUGGUCAACAAGUUAGACACAGACUAGGUGCAGAAUGUUAGUUAGUUGGUCUUAUCCCCUCUCUUUUGUUUCUCCUCUUAAACAACCACUGCGUUUCCCAUCAUCCGUCAUCCCCUAUACAAUCAGCGAUUCAAAAGACCUUGGCCCUUCUUAAUAAUCAUAUCCAUCUCUCUGUGUUUCUGCAUGUCGUGGGCCGCGAAAGUGACCAGCGGUCAAUUAAGUCAAAUUAUAUUCUAAUUCUCCUCUCCUCUCCCUGUUCGUCGGCCGGUUCCUUUUUUUACGAUCUCAUAAAAAAAAAAAAAAAAGCCGAAGAAGUGCGGUUAACAUAGCGUUAGAGAUUUAGGAGCUCACGCCGGUUUUCUUCCCCUUCUGACCAAGCUAAGCAGCUUUUUGAAGCAAAGGAAGGGCUUUUGAACGAAUCGCGCCCAAUCAGGGAUCCCCACAACAUUCAGUUUUGCCUUGUAAUAUGUAAUAUGUAAUAUGAUGGAGAAGAGAUCAUUUCCAAGCGGCCCUACUUUUUUUCUCUUUUUUUUUUUUCUUAUUGGUCCCUCUCUACAAAUGAUUAUUCUGUGGAAUGGAGGGAACAGAGAAUGAUGAGUUUGAAAGAGUGAUGACGAUAUAUUAUGACUAUAUAUUAUAUUAUAUUAUGACUUUGAUUUUAUCUAUACUCUGUCUGAUCUCUGAUGUCUCAAAUUGAAUCCUAGUGGCUAACCUAAACAGGAAAACAAAGAAUACACCAAAAAUACUGGUCUUACUA
Long non-coding RNA from Daphnia magna, 3595 nucleotides. RefSeq lists it as uncharacterized. The record is from RefSeq and is a predicted model, not a curated record. Lineage: Eukaryota; Metazoa; Arthropoda; Branchiopoda; Diplostraca; Daphniidae. The transcript is spliced from 3 exons.